RNAcentral lists this ribosomal RNA (430 nucleotides) under uncultured bacterium. Its description in RNAcentral is "partial 16S ribosomal RNA". It matches the Rfam family "Bacterial small subunit ribosomal RNA", at positions 29 to 507 of the family's 1533-position model. The record is from RNAcentral.
AACGACCGCUGGCGGCAGGCUUAACACAUGCAAGUCGAACGCCCCGCAAGGGGAGUGGCAGACGGGUGAGUACCGCGUGGGAACAUACCCUUUUCUACGGAAUAGCUCUGGGAAACUGGAAUUAAUACCGUAUACGCCCUACGGGGGAAAGUUUUAUCGGGGAAGGUUUGGCCCGCGUGGGUUUCGCUGUUUGUGGGGUAAAAGCCCAACAAAGCCGAGAUCCCAUGGUGGGUUGGGAGGAAGAACAACCCAAUUGGGGAUGGGACACGGGCCAAAACCCUACGGGAGGGAGGAGGGGGGAAUAUUGGAAAAUGGGGGCAAGCCUGAUCCAGCCAUGCCGCGUGAGUGAUGAAGGCCUUAGGGUUGUAAAGCUCUUUCACCGAUGAAGAUAAUGACGGUAGUCGGAGAAGAAGCCCCGGCUAACUUCGUG